UCCCUGGCAGUCCAGUGCUUAAGACCCUGCACUUCCACUGCAGGGGGCACAGGUUCAAUCCCUGGUUAGAGAA
RNAcentral lists this transfer RNA (73 nucleotides) under Ovis aries (sheep). It matches the Rfam family "tRNA". Rfam says of the family: Transfer RNA (tRNA) molecules are approximately 80 nucleotides in length. Their secondary structure includes four short double-helical elements and three loops (D, anti-codon, and T loops). Lineage: Eukaryota; Metazoa; Chordata; Mammalia; Artiodactyla; Bovidae. The record is from Rfam by way of RNAcentral.